AUAAACUAGGAUUAGAUACCCUAUUAUACUGAAAAGAAAUUUUUUUGCUUGAGUAGUAAUUAGUUAUGAGCUUGAAACUUAAAGAAUUUGGCGGUAUUCAAGUCUAGUUAGAGGAACCUGUUCUUUAAAACGAUAUGCCACGAAUUAUCUUACUUUUUUUUGUAUUCAGUUUGUAUACCGCCAUUAUUAAAUAGUAUUAUUAAAUGUCUAUUGUAAUAUAUUUUUAUAGAAUAUUAGGUCAAGGUGCAGCCUAUAGAAAAGUAGUUGUGGGUUACAUUGUAUUUUAUAUUCGGAUAAAUUAUAUAAACUAUAAUUUUGAAGUUGGAUUUAAUUGUAACUUUUUUUUAAUAAGUAAAAUUGAUAUUAGCUCUAGAAUAUGUACACAUCGCCCCGCUCUUA
Molecule: ribosomal RNA, 399 nt
Filed under: Periclimenaeus gorgonidarum
Lineage: Eukaryota; Metazoa; Arthropoda; Malacostraca; Decapoda; Palaemonidae
Description: partial 12S ribosomal RNA
Source: RNAcentral